Molecule: ribosomal RNA, 871 nt
Filed under: Enochrus bicolor
Lineage: Eukaryota; Metazoa; Arthropoda; Insecta; Coleoptera; Hydrophilidae
Description: partial 28S ribosomal RNA
Rfam family: Eukaryotic large subunit ribosomal RNA
Source: RNAcentral
AAAAUAUANAAUNANNACNAAAANANAAAUUGAAUUCCCCCACAGAUUNUAGCANAUUUAUAGGGGAGGGAAAAGAAAACAACUAGAUUCCAUAGNNNGGGGGNGCGAACGGGAAGGAGNCCAAACACANAAUCCCCGCGCCCUCANGAACGCAGGGAAAAGAGNGAUUGGGGAGGAUNCGGUUAUACAGAAACCNUAAGGCAUNCAAAAAAAUUNUUAACGAGGCCACUUACCCAAAGAGGAUUUCAGACCCGUAGUGACCGCGGNAGAAUCGGGAGGACUUCUCCUCAGAGUCGGGUUGCUUGAGAGUGCAGCCCUAAANGGGUGGUAAACUCCAUAUAAGGCUAAAUAUAACCACGAGACCGAUAGCGAACAAGAACCGUGAGGGAAAGUUGAAAAGAACUUUGAAGAGAGANUUCAAGAGUACGUGAAACCGUUCAGGGGUAAACCUGAGAAACCCGAAAGGUCGAACGGGGACAUUCAUNGUGUUUNGGGGGCGGCGAGUUGCGGUCGUGCGACGGCGAUCCCUUNGGGGAAAACCGCNCCGGCUGUUUCCGUCCGUCCUCGAACGNGNGCACUUGUCCCCUUGUANGACGUCGCGACCCGUUGGGUGCCGGUCUAAGGCCCGCAGGGGAGCCCGUGCGGCGGUUCGCCGCCGUGCGGACCCGUGGUGUCCCGGCCGGCCUGCCCGACGGUAUACAGAUGGCGCGGGGCCGCGGUCAUCGCGUCCGGCCCGUCACAAGUUCGGACGGUAACCGGGAAGUCGGACCUGGUCCGGCUCUCGGCCCGCCUGGCUGUUGGUGGCGGUGUCCUNGGACAGACUCCGUGCACGCCCGUNGGCGANGCUAAGCUAUNUANNUCANUUUNGNNU